RNAcentral lists this ribosomal RNA (253 nucleotides) under uncultured bacterium. Its description in RNAcentral is "partial 16S ribosomal RNA". It matches the Rfam family "Bacterial small subunit ribosomal RNA", at positions 524 to 776 of the family's 1533-position model. The record is from RNAcentral.
UACGUAGGGUGCAAGCGUUAAUCGGAAUUACUGGGCGUAAAGCGUGCGCAGGCGGUUUUGUAAGUUUGUCGUGAAAGCCCCGGGCUCAACCUGGGAAUGGCGAUGAAGACUGCAAGGCUUGAAUCUGGCAGAGGGGGGUAGAAUUCCACGUGUAGCAGUGAAAUGCGUAGAGAUGUGGAGGAACACCGAUGGCGAAGGCAGCCCCCUGGGUCAAGAUUGACUCUCAUGCACGAAAGAGUGGGGAGCAAACAGG